AAGGUUUGACAUGGAGGGCAAAGUUGAAGAAAUUCAACGGAGGUUAUCCCGACACAGGUGGUGCAUGGUCGUCGUCAGUUCGUGCUGUGAAGCAUAUGCUUAAGUGCUAUAACGAACGCAACCCUCGUAUUUAGUUACUAUCAUUCAGUUGAGAACUCUAAAUAGACUGCUAAGGUUAACUUAGAGGAAGGAGAGGAUGACGUCUGAUCAUCAUGCCCCUUAUAUUCGUUGGGCUACA
Molecule: ribosomal RNA, 238 nt
Filed under: uncultured bacterium
Lineage: Bacteria
Description: partial 16S ribosomal RNA
Rfam family: Bacterial small subunit ribosomal RNA
Source: RNAcentral